This 433-nucleotide ribosomal RNA is filed under the name uncultured bacterium. RNAcentral's name for it is "partial 16S ribosomal RNA". It matches the Rfam family "Bacterial small subunit ribosomal RNA", at positions 28 to 507 of the family's 1533-position model. The record is from RNAcentral.
GACGAACGCUGGCGGCAUGCCUAACACAUGCGAGUCGAACGAAACCUUCGGGUUUAGUGGCUCCCGGGUGCGUAAAGCGUGGGAUAAUGCCCUUAUGUUCUGAAUAUCUCCCCGAGAGGGCUGCUAAUAACGGAUAAUAUUUUCGGACCAAAGAUGUUGCGGCUUGGGGUGGGCUCGCGUUGGAUUAGCUAGUUGGUUGGGUAAACGCCUACUAAGGCGGGGAUCCAUAGCUGGUCUGAGAGGAUGAUCAGCCACACUGGGACUGAGACACGGCCCAGACUGCUAGGGGAGGCAGCAGUGGGGAAUAUAGGAGAAGGGGCGAAAGCCUGAUCCAGCAAGGCCGGGAGAGUGAUGAAGGGGUUGGGGUUGUAAAGCGCUUUUAACCGGGAUGAGAGUGACAGUACCGGGUGAAUAAGCACCGGCUAACUACGUG